UUCAGGCUGGACAAAAGUGGUAAGUGGUGUCCCUCAGGGUUCUGUUUUGGGACCACUUCUAUUUAACAUAUUUAUAAAUGAUCCUGAAAUAGGCAUUGAAGGCCAUGUAUCAGUGUUUGCAGAUGACACAAAACUUUGUAAAGUAAUAAAAUAUGAGCAGGAUAUUGCUUUGCUGCAGAGAGAUUUGGAUAGAUUGGGGGACUGGGCAC
Non-coding RNA from Pelobates cultripes (western spadefoot toad), 209 nucleotides. The record is from the annotation of a GenBank genome assembly. NCBI's taxonomy places the organism in Eukaryota, Metazoa, Chordata, Amphibia, Anura, Pelobatidae.